RNAcentral lists this transfer RNA (77 nucleotides) under Alteromonas sp. Its description in RNAcentral is "tRNA-Arg". It matches the Rfam family "tRNA". From Rfam's summary of the family: Transfer RNA (tRNA) molecules are approximately 80 nucleotides in length. Their secondary structure includes four short double-helical elements and three loops (D, anti-codon, and T loops). RNAcentral also lists the same sequence under 115 other names. Lineage: Bacteria; Pseudomonadati; Pseudomonadota; Gammaproteobacteria; Alteromonadales; Alteromonadaceae. The record is from RNAcentral.
GCGCCCGUAGCUCAGCUGGAUAGAGCAACGGCCUUCUAAGCCGUGGGUCGCAGGUUCGAAUCCUGCCGGGCGCGCCA